This 215-nucleotide unclassified non-coding RNA is filed under the name Glomeraceae sp. Its description in RNAcentral is "partial contains 5.8S ribosomal RNA and internal transcribed spacer 2". The stretch from base 1 to 71 matches the Rfam family "5.8S ribosomal RNA", at positions 84 to 154 of the family's 154-position model. The record is from RNAcentral. Lineage: Eukaryota; Fungi; Glomeromycota; Glomeromycetes; Glomerales; Glomeraceae.
GUGAAUCAUCAAAUUUUUGAACGCAAAUUGCACUCUCUGGUAUUCCGGAGAGUAUGCCUGUUUGAGGGUCAGUUUAAAUAAAAAUCGGUGUGGUUGCUGCCUUUCGUGGUGACGCACCGGAUUUGGGUCGUCUUGCCUUCGGUUAAGUGACCUAAAAUUUUGCAUGAUUUUUUCGGACGGUAUAUAAUUAUUUUACGGACCGUUUCGAUUACGAA